UUAACAAAUGUUGCUUAUAGGUUUCAGGUGAGUAAUGUGUGUUCAAUUCAAUAUUCCAUACACAAAGGGAAACUGGAUGUUCCUAGGUCUCAAUUAGCUGGCACACUGGGAGUCAAAUUAACAUUAAUAGCUCUUGAGAGCCUCCCCUGGAUACCACCAGGACCUUCUGUGCAUGCCCAGUCCCUUCCAUCUGGGCUCUGCUGGGCUCAGACGUUCUCCAGGGCUGACGGUCAGAGCUGCUGCAAGGUCUGGGGUAGGCUGUGUGUGGGAGGUCCCUCUGUCUGUGUGUCACACUUCAUCACUUCAGCCUGGAGGCAACACAGCUUGGACCUGAGUCUCACAUGGUUUUCAUCAAAACAGCCCCUUUAGCCUCAUCCUGCAGUGUCUCGAUAGAAGAUAAGACUGAGUUUCCAGCACUGCCUGGGAAUACACAUCAUCCUGCUUCAUCUACUGGGCUUCUGGUGUCAUCGUGGAUGCCUCCGCUCCAAAGUUCUUCUCUUUCAGCUAACAUUGAUCAAAGGUUGAACAUGUGCCAGCUACUGGAUGGGAGGCUCUUACAGUCAUCGUUUCAUUUAAUAUGUGUAAUGAGAGUUCAAGUAUCCAGGAUUCUCACCCACGUGAAACCUUCCUUGAAGGCUGAGCCAUCCUAUGUCUAAAGAGGAAUCACUGCCACUCAGAAAAACUUCCAUCAACUUCCUUCUGCGCUGCGUGAAACUGACUCAUCUGAGUAAAGUGUUAUGAGAAAAUUCACGCCCCAUCACAGAGAAACAGCUGUGUGUUGCCACAGUCACUAACUUUUGAAAGAUGCUCA
This is a long non-coding RNA of Hippopotamus amphibius kiboko, 811 nucleotides long. RefSeq lists it as uncharacterized. Lineage: Eukaryota; Metazoa; Chordata; Mammalia; Artiodactyla; Hippopotamidae. The transcript is spliced from 3 exons. The record is from RefSeq and is a predicted model, not a curated record.